This 449-nucleotide ribosomal RNA is filed under the name uncultured bacterium. RNAcentral's name for it is "bacterial SSU rRNA". It matches the Rfam family "Bacterial small subunit ribosomal RNA", at positions 29 to 506 of the family's 1533-position model. The record is from RNAcentral.
ACGAACGCUGGCGGCAGGCUUAACACAUGCAAGUCGAACGCCCGUAGCAAUACGGGAGUGGCGCACGGGUGAGUAACGCGUGGGAACCUACCCUUUGGUUCGGGACAACCCAGGGAAACUUGGGCUAAUACCGGAUGAGUUCCGCUGGUCGAGAGGCUGGCGGAAGAAAGAUUUAUCGCCGAAGGAGGGGCCCGCGUCGGAUUAGGUAGUUGGUGGGGUAACGGCCUACCAAGCCUGCGAUCCGUAGCCGGUCUGAGAGGAUGAUCGGCCACACUGGGACUGAGACACGGCCCAGACUCCUACGGGAGGCAGCAGUGGGGAAUAUUGGACAAUGGGGGCAACCCUGAUCCAGCCAUGCCGCGUGAGUGAUGAAGGCCUUAGGGUUGUAAAGCUCUUUCGCGCACGACGAUGAUGACGGUAGUGCGAGAAGAAGCCUCGGCUAACUCCGU